AUUUAGCUUGCUAGAUAGUUGAGAGCGGCGAACGGGUGAGUAAUACGUUGAUAUUUGCCCCUAGGUCAGGGAUAGCCAUCUGAAAAGAUGAUUAAUACCGGAUAGUCUCUUCGGAGUAAAAAUUUAUUGCCUAGGGAGAAGUCUUCGUUCUAUCAGCUAGUUGGUGAGGUAAUAGCUCACCAAGGCUAUGACGGAUAACUGGUCUGAGAGGAUGAUCAGUCACAAUGGAACUGAGACACGGUCCAUACUCC
Molecule: ribosomal RNA, 251 nt
Filed under: uncultured bacterium
Lineage: Bacteria
Description: partial 16S ribosomal RNA
Rfam family: Bacterial small subunit ribosomal RNA
Source: RNAcentral